Molecule: small nuclear RNA, 152 nt
Filed under: Myotis lucifugus (little brown bat)
Lineage: Eukaryota; Metazoa; Chordata; Mammalia; Chiroptera; Vespertilionidae
Description: U2 spliceosomal RNA
Rfam family: U2 spliceosomal RNA
About the family: U2 is a small nuclear RNA (snRNA) component of the spliceosome (involved in pre-mRNA splicing). Complementary binding between U2 snRNA (in an area lying towards the 5' end but 3' to hairpin I) and the branchpoint sequence (BPS) of the intron results the bulging out of an unpaired adenosine, on the BPS, which initiates a nucleophilic attack at the intronic 5' splice site, thus starting the first of two transesterification reactions that mediate splicing.
Source: Rfam by way of RNAcentral
AUCGCUUCUCGGCCUUUUGGCUAAGAUCAAGUGUAGAAUGCUUACAAUAUGUCAGGCACAUAUUUUUGCAUAAUUCUGUUUUAGGAGACAGAUAACUUGUCAUAUUUUUCAGAGGAAUAAACAGGCUCAGAGAGCUCAAAAGGGUAUCCUAC